GAAAUGCGAUAAGUAAUGUGAAUUGCAGAAUUCCGUGAAUCAUCGAAUCUUUGAACGCACAUUGCGCCCCCUGGUAUUCCGGGGGGCAUGCCUGUCCGAGCGUCAUUGCCAACCCUCAAGCCCGGCUUGCGUAAUGGGCCCCGUCCGCCGAGGACGGGCCCCAAAGGCAGCGGCGGCGUCGCGGUCAUCCGAAUCAGCCCGAGCGUAUGGGGACACUCACGCCAGCGGCGCGGACCGACGCCCGCCCGGAAACACACCGAACCACCACAAGUUUGACCUCGGAUCAGGUAGGGAUACCCGCUGAACUUAA
RNAcentral lists this unclassified non-coding RNA (310 nucleotides) under uncultured Eurotiales. RNAcentral's name for it is "sequence contains ITS1". The stretch from base 1 to 105 matches the Rfam family "5.8S ribosomal RNA", at positions 50 to 154 of the family's 154-position model. The record is from RNAcentral. Lineage: Eukaryota; Fungi; Ascomycota; Eurotiomycetes; Eurotiales.